RNAcentral lists this ribosomal RNA (330 nucleotides) under uncultured bacterium. Its description in RNAcentral is "bacterial SSU rRNA". It matches the Rfam family "Bacterial small subunit ribosomal RNA", at positions 29 to 350 of the family's 1533-position model. The record is from RNAcentral.
AACGAACGCUGGCGGCGCGCCUAAUACAUGCAAGUCGAGCGAGAAGACGUAGCAAUACGUUUGUAAAGCGGCGAACGGGUGAGGAAUACAUGGGUAACCUACCCUCGAGUGGGGAAUAACUAGCCGAAAGGUUAGCUAAUACCGCGUACGCUCCUUGGACUUCGGUUCAGGGAGGAAAGCGAUACCGUGGGUAUCGCGCUCUUGGAUGGGCUCAUGUCCUAUCAGCUUGUUGGUGAGGAACGGCUCACCAAGGCUUCGACGGGUAGCUGGUCUGAGAGGACGAUCAGCCACACUGGCACUGCGACACGGGCCAGACUCCUACGGGAGGGC